UCUCGCGAUUACAACUUUGUUCCCUUCCACUGCUCUCCAUUUCUUUUAUUAUGUUUUCACGAUGGCUUCACCCAGUCAAAGAUUUUUAGGGGUUCUGUUUGACCCGCGAUUUAUAAAAAAAAAUUCAAAAUCGUAGCUCGAUCUGCCAUCGCCACUGCAAUCAAAACUCCUUAUUAUAUUUCUUCCAGGUUCAAUUUAUGGAUCGAUAUUGUUUUGCCAAUGAUUUAUAGCACAUUCCGAUAACGGUGGAGGAACAGUUGUUUUUGAAAGCGGUUAGGGAAGAAUGCCCGUGGGAGAAUUUGCCCAAACGGCUUCAAGCCAUUUAUAACUUCAAAGAAUAAUGGCACAAGAGGCUGGUGUGUUCCCAAAAUCAUUAAAGAGUUAUGUUCAAAGGGCAUUGGCUCUAUGUAAGGAUGAAAAGCAAUCAGCAGCUUGCCAGGAAAUCAUGAAGGAGGUGAGGAUUUUCUUUUAAAUAAAAUUUUGGCAGCUGUUAUUCAGGAUUAUGUGCAUAAUGAAUUGUUUUCUUUCUUCUCUCUGGUUUUUUAAAAGUUCUAUUCAUGCCAUGUUCAUCAAGCAUUCAUUAAGAGUUUGGGUUAAUGAAUUCUUAAUAUGCUUGUAACUAAAAGUUGUUUAAAUGAAGAAUAUAAGUGUUUCACUACAGAAAUUUCAUCUUUACAAAUUGACAGAGCAAGGAGGCUAGCUCGAAACUUAGGAUAGCCUUUAGCCACUGAGCCGACCUUGUCUUGUUGAUUGUCUGCAUUUAAAAGAGGGUACUUGGUCCACUAGAAAGGAAGAUUGAGAACAAUGAUUCAUGUGCCUAGCUUUAUGGACUGAUUUUUGACAACUUUUUGACUUCCUACGUGUAUGCUAUUAUGUUCCUACGUGUAUGCUAUUAUGUUUCUUUAUAAGGGAGGCUAUGGAAAAGGUUUUUCUGUGGUAGGAUUUGGCUUUAAAGUCAUCGAGAUUAAUUGGUGGUUAGCAAGAGUUUUGAAGAUGGUGGCAACAGGGCUGUUGAGAAAUUAGGCAGCAGAAACAGUCAUUUCAGACUUGGUUAACUCAAAAUCAUUAAUGAAGCCUUAUUAGAUUUGAUGAGCUAAAAUGGUUAGACUUCAACUGGUAUUCUUUCCUGCGCCCUUUAUCAGGCAGCAGUUGAGGAAGGUAUUGUCGGUGGUGGAUGUACUUCGCUAAGACUUGCUUCUAAGGUGGAUGCUAUCAAGGAUUCACUUGAUAAUGACGAAGAAAAGGUGGUCAGAUGUUGCUUGGAGCAUGCAACAUCAGUGGCCAAGACAGUCUUGAUGUCCGAUUGUGUGGUUGUGGAAAUAAAGUGCCUGCUGGGAACCCCAUGGAUGAUUAGUAAUGGAACACUUUUUUGUUCUUUAUAUUUUGCAUGCUAAUAUGUUGGGUUCGUUGAUUAUGUCAGGAUACGGCUACUAAAGCAGAUGUUGAAGGGAAACCAAAUAAGGUAUCAAAUCUCCACCGUAGCAACGAUGAACCUGUUUAGAGUAGAAUGCUUAUUUUCGUUGUUGAUUAAUUAUUGAAAAAUCCUUAAGAUCCCGGUGAUAUAUAAGAUUUGCAUUUUGCAGUUCAGUGUAACAAUUUUGAACAUCGUUUUUCAGUGAAAGGAAGAAAGUUGGUAUUUA
RNA transcript from Gossypium raimondii (Peruvian cotton), 1640 nucleotides. It is a transcript of the gene named ruBisCO large subunit-binding protein subunit beta, chloroplastic-like, with no coding region annotated. The record is from RefSeq and is a predicted model, not a curated record. The transcript has 5 exons. NCBI's taxonomy places the organism in Eukaryota, Viridiplantae, Streptophyta, Magnoliopsida, Malvales, Malvaceae.